AUUGAACGCUGGCGGCAUGCUUUACACAUGCAAGUCGAACGGCAGCGCGGGCUUCGGCCUGGCGGCGAGUGGCGAACGGGUGAGUAAUACAUCGGAACGUGCCCAGUAGUGGAGGAUAGCUCGGCGAAAGCCGGAUUAAUACCGCAUACGACCUGAGGGGGAAAGCGGGGGAUCUUCGGACCUCGCGCUAUUGGAGCGGCCGAUGGCAGAUUAGCUAGUUGGUGGGGUAAAGGCCUACCAAGGCGACGAUCUGUAGCUGGUCUGAGAGGACGACCAGCCACACUGAGACUGAGACGCGACCCAGGCACUGAGGGGCGGCACAGACGCGGACUGUAGGCAGCAGGGGGGAAUAUUGCUCAAGGAGCGCAGGGUGGAUGCAGAAGGCCUGCGUGUGGGAUAGCGCCUUUGGCGUUGUCGACAACGACUGGGACAAUACAAGGUUGUGAUGACGGUACCCGCAGAAUAAGCACCGGCUAACUACGUG
This 484-nucleotide ribosomal RNA is filed under the name uncultured bacterium. RNAcentral's name for it is "partial 16S ribosomal RNA". It matches the Rfam family "Bacterial small subunit ribosomal RNA", at positions 29 to 507 of the family's 1533-position model. The record is from RNAcentral.